Molecule: transfer RNA, 75 nt
Filed under: Vagococcus luciliae
Lineage: Bacteria; Bacillati; Bacillota; Bacilli; Lactobacillales; Enterococcaceae
Description: Vagococcus sp. G314FT tRNA-Lys
Rfam family: tRNA
About the family: Transfer RNA (tRNA) molecules are approximately 80 nucleotides in length. Their secondary structure includes four short double-helical elements and three loops (D, anti-codon, and T loops).
Source: RNAcentral
UGGGCUGUUAGCUCAGUUGGUAGAGCAACGGACUCUUAAUCCGUGGGUCAAGGGUUCAAGCCCCUUACAGCCCAU